This is a long non-coding RNA of Tribolium castaneum (red flour beetle), 1211 nucleotides long. RefSeq lists it as uncharacterized. Lineage: Eukaryota; Metazoa; Arthropoda; Insecta; Coleoptera; Tenebrionidae. The transcript is spliced from 2 exons. The record is from RefSeq and is a predicted model, not a curated record.
GGGAUUAAAAAUUGAGAUAUAAAUAGAAGUUUAAAAUAAAAAAUUUUGAAAAAAGCGAAGGAUAUAAAAAAAUUUUAAAACUCGAAUUAAAAUCUAACAUAAAAAAAUCAUUAUGAAACAAUCUUGAAAAAGUUUUUUUUAAAUGUUUUUCUAUAAAGGCCAUUUAAAAACCCAAAUGUUAAAAAAAAAUGGUUAAAUUUGAACCAUUUUUGCAGAAAUUAUGCCCAAAAAUCUAAAAAAACAGCAAUUUUUUUAGAAAGUCGAUAUCUUUUGAACGGGUAAUCAAAAAAAUCUCAAAAUUUACCAAAAAUGCUACCUUAAGGGGUACUAAAACAUAUCACAAAAUUGAGGAAAUCAAAACAAAAAAUUUCUCAAACCGUCCGAUUUGGCGUGGAAUGCCCCACAUAUUACGAUUUAUACGCAUAAUUUUUAUGCAGGUUCAAAAUAUGGGCCACUGCAAGUGGGCGAGUAGACUUGUUAACCCGUGAAAUGAAGGACCACGGCAAUUUCCGCCUAUGUGCAGAUCAUUUUGCAGACAACAUGUUCACACAUCCUCAAAAAAAGGCCCUUCGUGGAGACGCAAUCCCUCACCAGAAAGAGUCAGAGCAAAGUUCCUGUGUGCUUCCGGGAACCAGCAGGGAAGAAGUACAUGCACAGGCCUGCCAAACUAUUUCCGAAGAUACCUUAUUCUGUCACUACAAAAAUUUAGAUGAAAGCUCAGAUUUUGGUAAUCUAACAAUGCCUGCAACUAAUUUUGUGUAUUACAUUGCCCAGUUGGAACACCAGUUCUCCAACGGCCUUUUUGAACGUUAUUCCACUGGGGCCCGGGUUGGUUUUCAAAUACUUACCGAAUUAAGCAAAAUUCCAUUCUCACAUCCCUGCAAAAACUUUCCUUUAGACUACGUACGGGGUCUGUUUGUAAGGAUGCGACUUUUCCUUUGUGUGAAGUCACACAAUACUCUGCAAAAAACUAAAUCUAAAAAAGAACGCCGCCUCAUUAUUUUUUCACAUUUGUAACCUUUGUUAAUUGUAUUAUCGUCGUUCUCUGGUUGUAUUCAAGGUUGUAUUAUAAUCUUAACAAAGAAUGAUGUAUACUUACGUAACCAUAGGUCCAUAGCAUAGGGUGGCAUGGGUCAUUUAUUUAUCAAAACAAAUUGCUUCGUAUGUAGCUUCCCUUGUUGUAUGUAUGUUAAUAAAUCAUCUAUUAUAAA